This is a long non-coding RNA of Felis catus (domestic cat), 12263 nucleotides long. RefSeq lists it as uncharacterized. Lineage: Eukaryota; Metazoa; Chordata; Mammalia; Carnivora; Felidae. The record is from RefSeq and is a predicted model, not a curated record. The transcript has 3 exons.
CCCUCCUUCUUUCUCUGCCCCUCCCCCACUUGCUCAUGCUCUCUCGCUUUCAAAAACUAUAAAUUAAUUAAUAAAUUAAUUAAUUAAAACUAUAUAAAACUAAUGCCAUGUUCUUAAGUACUAGGGUAUUGUUUUAAAAACUGUACACCAGCAGUGUUAUAGAUGGAAGUAGGAACCAACCUGAAAGCAGAGAAACCCAGUAAUUGAGGUAAGAAUUGAGGGCCCAUUACCUUUCCUGUCUUUCAGAGACUUUGACUGCAAUGUUACAUCUACUCAAUGAAUCCUCUGUGGCUCUUACCUUAGUUAUUGUAUUUUCCAUUCAUUUUUUCCCUUCCAUUUCCUUCUGCUAUGUUUUCCAGUCCACUAAUUCUCCUUCUAGCUGAAUCUGCUGUUAAAUCCAUCUAUUGAAUUCUUUACUUUUGAGUUCUAGCAUGUCCAUGUUUCUUUUUAUAAAAAAUAUUUUCCCAUUCUCUGCUGAAAUUUUUAAUCUUUUCUUAUUUCUUUGAACAUAGUAAAAGUUAUUUUAAACUUUGUGUCUGAUGCUUGAGUAUCCAGAGCUCUCCUGAAUCUUUUCCUGUUGUCUGUUUUUCUUUAUUGGUUUUCAUUCCUGUUAUCAUGUCUCUUAAUGUCCCCAGUUAGUGUUUAUUGAUGAUAGCAAUUACAUCCACAAAAUUGUUUGUAGAAAUAAUUUGAGCCCUAAGAUGCUAUCAUCUUUCAUGAUUAGAUUUACAUUUUGUUUGCAGAGCACUUGCAGGCACAAGAAAUUUCCUCAAUUCAAUCUUAGUAAUGGAAGUGACUUAAAGCUGAACUGUUGUCUCUUCCACUUCACACUUACUUCCAUUGUUUAGUUUUUAGGGCCCUGACACAAAGCAAGAAGUUUCUCUCUGUUCCUAUGGCUCACCGACUGGCAGAGUUUUUGUUCACCUUCUCAAACUCUCAGCUGACUUCUCAAGUAUGAGCAAAUGUCCUCAGGAGAAAAGAAGACACAAACCCUAGGCUCAUUCUCUGUAUCUCUGUCCUAGGUAAUUCUUCACCAUCUCAUGACUACUUCAAAAAUUUGCUUCUAAAAGAGGGAAUCAAAAAAUAAACAAAACGAAACAAAUGCAAUGAUUAAAAGAUAUAGUAGAGACAAAAUAAUAUAGAAAAUUACUGAGGUAGGGAAGGAAAAGGACUUUGUCUGGCUUAAUCAGAAAAGGUAUCUUGGUAGAACUGGCAACUAAAAUGAGGUCAUAAUGGUGAUAAGAAAGAAAUCACUUGCAGAUCUAAGGGGAGAUAAUUCUGAAAAAAAGAUGGGGAUGAGCUUGCAUGUGUAAGACGCAGAAGAAAGACCAGAAGGCUGAAAAAUCAAGUACCAUGGCACAGUGAAGAGAAGCAGUAUUGUAGAAAAGGACACGACCAAACAAAUUAGGAGUUCAUUUAUUCUGGUCUCUGUUGGGGAAAUACCAAAAGAUACUAAGCUAGAGAUUUAUGCCUCAGAAAGAUUGCUUGGGCAGUAGUGUGAGGAUUGGACUGUGAAAGGUCAAGAGCAGGGCCAAGAAGUCGGAGAAGGGGAUGCCUCAGAAGUCCACUGAGUGAUUGUGUGCUUUGGACAAUGGGGCAGCAGUGCAAGUGGUGAUAAGUGAGAGGACUCAGGAUAUGUUGUAUCUCCCUUUUGAGAUUUCUGCUUGUUCUCUAGUUCUGUUUGCUUGGGCGUGAAUUCACCAUUUUUUAUUUGGCUCAGACCUGCUCAGUAAAGUAGCUUGACUUCUGUCUUCACGAAACUCAGCAGGGACAGUGUUCCCAUUAUAAGGAAAUAAAUAAAUAAUAAGGCUAAAACAGAUGCGACCAGGCACUGUUUUAUGUGUGUCACAUGUACCAACUCAAUCUUCUCAAUUAUUCUAUGAAGAAAGUACUUACAUCAUUAUCCCCACUUUAAAGAUAAGAAAACAGGAACAAGGAGGAAACAAUUUGCCCCAGGUCAUGGCCAGUGAAGGGAUAUUUGCUGGCUGCUGUGGUUGUUACUUUACUUCACCUUGUUCAUUUCCUUUUUUCUUGUAACAUCACCCUGAUUUCCUUCUGAGAAUUCACUCCUUCCUCCACUAAGACUAUUCCAUUUCUAUGAUGCUGACUACCGUACAGGUCCAGGGGAGGUCGUGUGACUCAAACCUAGCCAAUCAGCACUGUCUUCCACUAGACAGAGGUAAUGGAUCAAGAAUGAAUUAAUCAGAAGCAAUGACAAUGUUGACUGUGAAGUUAGAGGUCUGGAAUCCUUGUUGCCACCACGAGAUGAGAAAACUGAACUCCAGAGAGUUUAAGCAACUUCCUGAAAGCUGCUAGAUAAUAAAGGUGGAGCCGGAUCUGGACCCCAGGAGAUUCACCUCCUCCCAAUAUGCCUUGCUUCCUGUUCACACAGCCACAUUGUUGGAAGAGAAUUCCCAUAAUUCUACACAUCUGGUCAUAUGAGUCAUUAGAUCAAAUCAUAUAAUAGCACGGAGAAUUUCCAAAAAUGUUCCAUGAGGCUGAUUUACAAGAUAAGCUGUUGGAGGAAAUUAAAUCCACACCUCCCAGGUAUACCUUCCUGCAUGAAGUAGGAGACAGGACCUCAGGCUCAUGGCAAGGUAUUUGGCCAGUGGGUUGGGCCAGACAUGCCAUCCCUUUUCUCCAGCAAGGAGGUAGCAGUGGAGGGGAGGAAAGAACGAAGGCAAUGAUGACUGAGAUGGAAAGGGAACCAAGUAGGUGAGAGCGUGGAACAGGGUUUCAGUAGUUAUCAUGAGAUAUGAGAUAUCCUGAGCGUCUGUUGUCUAGAAAGCAUUUCUCAGAAACUCUGAGAAAGAUGUGUAAGAUGCCUAUGUCAUUCCCUUUGAGAAAAAUUACAGUCCAUAUUCACCUUCAAAGUUUAGAGUGAGCUUUGUGUUUUUGUUUAAUAUGCUUUUGCUCAGACCCCAGCCCCGCAGAGCCCCAGCCUAUCUCUUACACUGAAUUAAGGACAUACAGCACUUUGUCACUCCUUCCUAGCAAUGACUCAUUUCUUAGGUUGCUUUACUUUUCCUACAAUUUUUAUCGAACUGGCGAGCAGAGUGGACAUCAGAGAAAUGAGAACUAGAAACUUUUUUUUUUUGCUGUGAUGAGGAAAAAUAUAAGCACAUGAAAAAAAAAAAAGGAAAGUAACUGGAGGAAUUAAAAAAGAAAGGCACCCCCUGAGGAUCCUGGUAACAACCACAUAAGGGAAGUAUGUUAGCCCCCCUCUACCUAUGAAACUAAAACAAAGUUUAGGAAUCUUGUUCAAGUGUGUAAGAGUAAACUAGCAUAUAGCAACCUCAACGUUUCUGCUGCCUAAUCCAUGAAAACUUCCCUUUUAUCUCAUGUGACAUUCUAAUUUAGUUUGGCCAUGGAUGAGGGUAGAGGUGAUCAUUGGCCAGGAUCUAAUCGUGUGACCACACAUAGUGCAAAGGAGACUGGGAAAUGUAAUCUGGCCAUGUGUCUAGGAAAAGGACAAGAUGGAUAUUGAGAAGUCCCGGCAGGCUCUUUCGCUAAGGUAAAACAAUUAGUGAGUAGCCAGCUUUCCUAUCUAUAGGUCUCAGCUAAAGUGCUAUAUCAUUUCGUAUUCUGAAGCUUUAUUUACUUUUUUUGAUUAGGACAGAUCACCUUACACUUGUCACCUUAUACUUCUUUAGUGCCCUUUUCAUAGACCUCCCCCCUCCCCCAUUUAAAAUGUCAACUUCAGACCUUUUUAUUCAUGGCAUGAGCCUUAUCAGAAUUUUGGUUCCCAUUCACCUUGCCUGUAGUAAGAUUUGAUACUGAUUGAAGGGAAAACAGUGAAAAUAAAGGUUCACACCUUUAUCAUCUCCCUGCAAUAAAGAAUUGGGGUGGGGAGGGCAGGGAUGGUGGGUGUUGAAGGUCUCAGCGAGAACAAACCCCCUACCUGAAGGAGAACCGGGGCCAGAGAAGAAAGGGGAAGACCAAGAAGACGGUCUUCAGAAGCUUUUCCAGAAACUUGUGCCCAAGGAUUUGCCCAGAAAUACUGUAUAAUUGCUCAAGUGGCUUUUGUCAAGCACUUUGCUAAAAAUGUUCCCAUUUUUGUAUGCAAAUACUUUUCCUUUUCUACAUCUGAAAGCCACAUGUGAUUUUCAAUCAGCCAGCACAAACAGACUGACAGACAACAUCCCUCAGGAAAUGCUUGCUAUGCCAUCAGGUUUCAACACUCUUCUCCUUCCCCCCUCUGGAGCAAGCCUAUAAUUCUGCAUUUGUGUAAAUACAUAUGUGUGGCAUAUUUAUUCACAUGCUGCUGGGUAGAGCAAAUGACUCUGCAUUCUUUCCUGGUUAUGCAGUCAAGAAGUGACUGCAUGUUCCCCGCAUGCUGUUCAAGCCCACGAUGGGGAGUCCACAGGUGCUUACAAAAUAGGCUAGAGCUUGCCGUGCAAGGACCACAGACCUUUUCUGGCCACCUAUCCCCACCCGCAAGAAGACUUGGGGUAGAUUCUUCCUCCUCCAUGUUGCCUGCUCGGUGCUCCCAUAGUUCUGAAUACAGAGCUUUUGAUGUUCCCCAUACCGUAAAGGCUUGUUUACAUCUGUUCUCAAGUUUAUGGGCAAUCCGUCCAUUUUAUAACCUAGUAGAGACCAUUACAUAUAAUAAUUCUGUAAAAUCUUGUUGAUAAAUGAGUGCAUUGAUAAAGAAAAACUUAGACCCUGAAACAGUUUGCCUCAACAAUUCAGGGCCCUAAAAAUUUGGCAUCAAAUGAUUACUAAGCGUUCUGGUUCCACCUAAAACCUUAAGCAUUUGUUAAACCUAUGUAGUUACCAUAAUGCUUUUCUGCUUUAAUCCUAGUUAGAAAUUUAAAUGUAAUUCUUUAGGUUGUCAACUGCCUUUUCUGAGUGCAUAUGAUGUUCCACAUAAGCACUGUUCCUCUCGAAUUGCGUGUAUCGGGGCGCCUGGGUGGCUCAGUCGGUCGAGCGUCCGACUUCAGCUCAGGUCAUGAUCUCGCGUUCUGUGAGUUCGAGCCCUGCGUCAGGCUCUAUGCUGACAGCUCAGAGCCUGGAGCCUGCUUCUGCUUCUGUGUCUCCUUCUCUCUCUGCCCCUAACCCACUCUCAUUCUGUCUCUGUCUCUCUCAAAAAUAAAUAAACAUUAAAAAAAUUUUUAAUUGCAUGUAUCAAUUUAUCGAAUCUUCACCCUAAAAGUAGGUGCUAUUAGUAACUCAUUUUGUAGACAGAGAAACAAAGAAAACUGUCACAAAGAUGAUAAGUAAUUGGCCCACAGACCCACAGAUGUCAAAGGUCAGGACCAAGACUUGCUCAGGAGGACUGGCUCCCGGUUGAGUUUUUAAUCACUAUGCUAAACUCAUUCAUUUAACAAUUUAAUGAUAUCUAAUGAUGUGCUCAAUUAAAAUAACUUCGAAUAAUGUGAAGUGAUCUGAAGAAAAUGGUUUGAUAUGGUGAGAGAGAGGAACACCAACUAGAGGGGGCCAAGAAAGUUCACUCUACAAGUUCACUUUUGAGUUGAGCCCCAUUGGCUGAGAAGUGACCAGCUGAAAGGGUGAAAGGGUGAUGUGUCCCCAGCAGAAGACACUGCAAGUACAAAGGCUGUGAAACAAGGAGGGCUUGGGAUGCUGAGGACCAGGCCAGCGUAGCUGAGUAGAGUGGUCAGGCAGGAAUAGUACAAGAUGAAGUCAGAGAGACUGGCAGAAGCUACAUCAGUAGAGAUGCUAUUAGAUUCAUAAUCAGUGCAAUGGGAUGCCAUUGGUGGAUUUUAAGUCACUGUGCUUCUUUUGUGUAGAAUUAACUGGGGUGGGGAGAUUUCAGUGGAAGAAGAGGAAUCAUGGGAAAGUUGCUGCUGUAGUUCAGAUAAGUUCAGAUGGGAGCUGAUGGAGCCUCGGACUAAGAGAGUAAUGGUCGGGAAGGCAUGAGUGGUAUCCAGAUGAGGUGGUGAUGAUGAGAAGCACUUAGAAGGUAUUUUGGUGAGACUGUGCCCAUAAGACUUCCCAAAUGGAAGCAGCCUUCAGGAAAGGACUAUGCUGGGGAAUCAGCCGAUCUAGUCCACCCAGAGCGACGUCAGAGGUCAGAAUGUGGGGAUGACCCCUUCUUCCAGCAGGCGUCUUCCAUGCUCUGGUUCCUGCCUUGGAGUCUUGCUGCAUGGAGUCUCUUCAGUGAGAGAUCAUCAUUCAAAAUCUAUUAGAAUGACGUCCAGGAGCUGUCAGAGCUGUUUACCUCCCCUGCCAUCAGGGGAUAUGUGUAUUCACAUAACACUGAAGGGCAUUCACUCAUGCAGAGUGGAUGGGAAUUUGAUAGGUAGAUAUGUCCCCAAGCAGAGGGAACAGGUGGAGUAGGAUGUAAGGUCAGGAGAAUGCAGGGAGAAUUGAGGGCAAGUGUAGAGAGAGAAAGCUGAGAAGAGAUCCAAGAGAGGUGCAUUUAGGGAGGGUGUGGAAUCUUUGUGUGCCCAGUUUAUCCUUAAGGUAGUAGAGAAUCAGCAACAAAUUUUAGGAAAGGGAGAGAGAGCCAUGAAGUGUGAGAGCUGAAAGGAACCCAACAAUUGCCAAUUCCACCUGCUUCGUAUUGUACCUGUCUCCCUUUUAAAGAAAUAGCCCCAGCGUCAGUUUGCAUUCCCUAUGCAUAACCCUACGAACUUCAUUAUAUCAGCAACUCAUGCUGCACUGGAGUCUUUUGCUGAGGGUAAAUCAGCAGAUAGUUUUGAGUGCUUACUGUGUGUCAAGUGCGCAGGAGAAACCAAAGAUUAUUAAGACUGGUCACCUGGCCUCCAUUUCUCCCAGCGAUCUCAAAAUUACCCAGCCUGAAAAUGUCGGACCAAAUGUAAACCUCAGCAUAGAAACUAGAUUCUCUAUGCCACCUCCUCCAUACACUUUCAUGUCGGAGUGUUCCUUUGACCACAACUUCAGGCUCUUCAAAUGGAACACCUUAUUGCACAGAACAGCAGAGAGACUCAUAUCUUAAACUACAUGAAGUGACUGUGUUGAGAAAAGGAACAGCCUUAGAAAUUGAGACAUUAAAAAGCGACUUGCCCGACUUUUCUGAAUAUCCAAUAUCUUUUAGCAGCUUUAGACAUUGGUUUAGUUAUUUAGCAAAAAACAAAAUAAUAAUAAUUUAAACAAAAUAACAGUUUCUUUCUCUAGCUUAAGAGCCUGAGUUUGUAGGAAGUGGGCGAGAUUAUUCGAUACCUGAAUUCCUCUAUCCUUCCACUUCGCCAUUCACUAAUGUUGCCCUUUUCCACGUGGUCACAGAGGACUCACCACUAUGCUGUCCAUAGACUGGCUAGUGACAAAGAGGAAGAGAGAAAUGGCAACCAAAUCCCUCCCUUUUAAGGACAUAACCCAGAAAUAGCAUACAUCACUUUUGUUCAUGUAUCAUUGACCAGAAAGGAGUCACAUGCCCACACCUUGUAGCAAGGAAGGUUGGGCGACCGUGUACUCAGUUAAAAUUCUGGGAUGAGCAUAUUGAAAGAGAGAAGGGAAAAUGGAUAUUGGAGGCCAACGGCAACCUCUGCAUAAUAAGAGUCUGUGAUGAUUCUAGGGUGGUAUAAUAUUGUUAUGUUGACCGUGCUCUGGGUAACACGUGCAACAGUUUUCACUCAAGUUUGGUUCGGGAAUGUUAGGAUACAAACGAAUCAUCUUCAAGAGUUUUUCUUUAGAUGAAAAAGUUUAAGCUCCAAUUCUAGUAAAUCCAGGGAUCUGCAUUUUUAAACGACCCCAUGGAUGAUUUGCAUGCGGUUCCCACAAUUUGGGACUGGUGGCCACCACUAUGGGUGAAUAGAAUUUAGCAAUAGUUUAGAAGCUUUGAAAAAUUCAAGCCUACCCCUGGGGGCAGGCACAUUUAAACUUGAGUUUAGAUCAGCUUUAUAAUCAGGAAACGGUGACGUGACCUGAACUGAAGGAUCUUAGAUUUCCCUAUCACUGUUGAGAUUAUGUUAAUCAGCCUUUCUCACCCCAGAUCCAGAAUUCCUUGAGUGUAGAGAAGUUAUGGCACCUUGAAAACUCGAGUCGUUUACCUCAUGCUGUAAUAAACACAGUCAUAACAAAUUACCAUUUUAUAUGGUUUUACCUGCACUGUUACGGAUUUAUCUCAUUUGGCCUUCUGAGCAAGCGGAAUUUACAGGUGAGGUAGUUGAGAGAUCAGAUUGCCUUGGUCAUAGGCCCCAAAUCCAGAUCCUCCUCUCAGGGCUAGUUCUUUCUCCUGUACUACACUGCUUCUCUUUGCUUCUCAUCCUAAGUGAGAUCAAAAUAGAAACAGCUCAAAAUAGAGCAGAAGCAGCGAGCAGAGCGAAGAGUAGACAAAUGCAUUAUAAAAAGCAUGAGGUAACAACACAGAUGAACCUCCAAGCAUUACGCUAAGUGAAAGAAGCCAGACACAAAAGACCUCGUAUUGUAUGAUUCCAUUUAUGUGAAAUGUCCAGAAAAGACAAACCUAUAGAGAUGGAAAUAAAUUAACAGUAGCCUAGGGCUGAGGGUAGGGACAGAUUAACUGUAAAUGGGCAUGAGGAAUCUUACCGAGGAGAUGAAUAUAUUCUAAAACCGGAUUAUGCUGAUGGUAACACAACUCAGUAAAUUUACUAACAAUCACUGCAUGCGCGCUUAAAAAUGAAUGGAUUUUGUGGCCUGUAAAUUGUAACUCAAAAACGUUGCUGUGAAAAAGCAUGAAGUGUUAACAUUAGAAGUAUACAUAUCAUUUUUGGCUCUGCCCCUUAAAACUUGGAUUUCGUCGAGAAAGUAAUGCAACAUCCCUCAGACCCUGGAUUGUCAUCUCUAGAAUGGGGAUAAAAAUACUGUCUCUUACAGCAUGUAAUUUCUUAGCACCCUGGGAGAGCAGCAUGAAAGUCAGCUUGGGGGGCAUCUGUCCACUUUGGCUGCCCUCAGAUUUGUACCACCCAACAUUCCCUUUUACUUCUUAACUGAAACCCAGAAACUGCUCUCCUGUCAACACACACAUUUGAAGGGCUAACUUCUGUCUUGCCUCAUCACGCACUAAUGGCACAGGCUGGACCGUGCAGCUGAGUCACAGCCCUUGCCGUUCACAUCAGAGCGUCACAAUAACCAAGAUGGCGGCUCUGAUUGGUAAACACUCUUUCCGUCAGACCAGGGCAAAUAUGCCAGGCCCCUUGUUUUCCUGGAAUUACGUUCUGACAAAAAAUGAUUUAAAUUAUUCUAAGUUGUUUAUUUUGUCGUCGUCUUCCUUCCUCAUGUGAUUCUUGAGCGUUUAGCUUUAACACGUUAUGUUCCUCCGAGUAAGCCUUUUAAUGUCAACUUGUCAAAAGCCAAUUGCAUUUUCUUGGAGGUCGAAACACUUGAGAGCUGAUUUUUUUGAAAAUUAUUAUUUAAGCCAGCAGCACUUUUCUACCUAGCAUUCCAGGAAAUCUGUUGUGUGUGUGUGUGUGUGUAGGCUCAACCUUCUUCAGGUCCAGGAGGCACUUAUAAAAAAAUGCAGGCUCUACUGGGGCAGAGCUAAAAAUCUCCUCCUCCUGUGUUGCAGAGGUUUGCUGUGCUGUUUAAUGCAUCCUUAGCUGAUUGGCACACCAGCUUCCUGGUAUAAUUUAAUGUUAAAUAACACUCUAAAACUGUGUCAGGAAAUAGGGACAUGUGAAAUGUCACCUUUGGAAGAAAAAAAAAGAAAACAAUUACAGUUAUGACAUGCAAUCUGUAUCAACCUCUUUUGAGAUAAUUAAAGAAAGAUAACAGAAAACCCUAGCCAAUAAAUGGGCUAGCAAGGAGGAAAAAAGAAGAGCCUUUGUAUUUCCAUGGUUCCACAUUUCCUUGGCACAUCCAAGCCAGUCUUUUUCUGAGUCUACUGAACAAGCAUUUGUCAUAAGCUUUACUGUACCAUGAAGUUAUGAUUAAUAUUACAGCUCAAGUACAGCGGGUUGAAAGACCACAUUCAUUUUCAAAGUCACGUCGCAUUGAUUAGAAUUCACUGCAGGUUAUUCAAAUAACGAUCCUCUCUUUCCCCAGGAGAAUCUCUGUCUGAUUUUUCUUUAUCCUCAUUAAAGAUCCCAGGUGCAGACAAAGCUUUACGUACUUCUAAUUUGCAUUAUCCUUGGGAAGGAGGUAAUUCACAUACCUUUAGUAUAUAGCACUUGUUUUUGUACUUUGCUCUUUGCUGGCGCCUAUUUAAAUAAAUCAAGAAACUUAGCCUUUAUAAACCCUUAGACAAUAGAAAAUGCCAAAUUUGUAUUAUCUUUAGGAAUGUGUCCAUGGAUCCCCAACCCUCCAUGAUAAUUCAGAUAAAUUGAGGCAUUUUUGUUCCGUUCUUGGCUGUACUCAGCUUAAAAAGAUAAUGAUUUCUUCUUUCUUUCUUGGGGGAGAAAUUCAUUUUAGGUGUAAAGAGCAGCUCAGAGCAUUUUUCAGCCUUACCAGAGCUGAAAAGUAAAGGCUCGUCAAAGAAUAAAUGUGGUAUUCAGAGAAUCCCCAACAGAACUUGAUAUGUUGUUUGGCUAAUUAGAUAAAUUUCUAUGCAAGGGCUGAUCAAUUAUUGUUUCUGUUGAGAUAAUUUAUUAGCUACUCUUCCCGGCUUAGCAUUUUUAUAGAAUCACAUAUGGAUUUCAUUGGCAUAAGGUGUGGGCCUCAAAAUUGCGACAAAGAAUUCUGCCUCGGACUAUUUUUACCUUUAGUUUUUGUGUAAUGAGUUUAGCCUGAAGCAGACUGACAGCAUUGUUGACAUUUCAUUGAGUUUCCAUUUCUCAAGAGAGGAGAAAUUUUAGCUAAUUAAAUAAUGUUAGAGUGUCUUAGAAACUACAAAGGCAACACAAAACCAUGCGGCAGUCACACCAUAUUUGUUAAGACCACUUGUAAAUUUCUGAGAUCUUUAGAAAAUUGAAGUCUGCAGAACAAAACUUUUAAAGUGACUCAGAGGCUCAAAAUGAUGUGGCUGACAUAAUUGGAAAGAUAGGAGAAGAACAACUGGAAGAGAAUUUUCAUAAAAAUAAUCAUUUUGCAGUGUGUGUAUCAGGAGUGAAUAUGAUUGUUUCCCUGGACGGGACAGCAGCUUAAUGGCUCAGAAACCUGCAUGUGUAUGUGUGUGUGUGUGUGUGUGUGUGUGUGUGUGUGUGUGUUUCGCAUUAAAAGUUACAUGUGCAAUUUACAGGGUGGAAUUGUAACUUCCAAGCCAGCGAAUCAGCAUUAACCAUGCAUUUAGGUACUGAUGAAAACUGGGCUAUAACCUCCUCAUUUAUUUUUCAGGGAUAACAUGGUUUUCUGUGAUCUGCGAACCUGCUCCUGAUAAGUCUUUGCACACAUAACCAAUAUAAGAGAAAAUUAAACAUUUUGUUUAUUUAUUUGUUGUUUAUUUGUUGUAUUUAUUCAUUUCUUCUAGAAAAUUGGUAAUCAGGAUCAGAACCUCAUUGACUCUGAGUAAAAUGAAAUGGAGUGUGCACAUGUGGAAACAACAACCACCACCAACUUUUUCAAUUCAGUGAGGGACUGUUUAACAGGGAGUAAAAUUUUAAUGAAAAAUAACUAGAGAUUCUACUCAGAAAUGUCUUCUCAGCUGAGCUCGAUAGGGUAGCCCCAUGGAUUCCAUAUAAACAUGAGUCAAUGACAGAACCCAAAAGCAAGACAGAAAUGUUACCAUGUCCACUUAGAGAAAUAUGCUAAACCAUUCUGAUUGUAAGAUGACAACAUAGCUGUUGACAUUCUAGAGCCAUGUUGAAAAUGAUGAUAAAAUGAUAUAUAAACCUACUCUGGAAUAAAUAAAGCUUGCGAAGCGCAUUUCAUAAUGAAAUAGACACCUACAGCGUGUGUAUGCGUGUAUGACGUGAAUGCAUACACACACAUGCACAUCUGUGUGUGUGUCUCCAAUCUGAGAAUCUCAGAGAGGAAGGCAUGGAGCAGCCAUUGAGAUUUAUUUCCCCUUUAAGCCUCAGGGAACCUUUGAGAUUUCAUUGACAUUAAUUAAGCCCACCCCAGGAUCAUGGGCUUGGUGGGCUUGGUGAACUUUUGUUUUAAAAAGCAAGCUUGCUUGCCAGAGGAGUUUUUUUCCCAAGCUCUCAUUUUAUUGUGGUUUCCAGCAGGGGAUCUUGUUUCAAGGGAUAUGAUCAAAGCAAAGGACAUUUCUUCUGGGACAUAUUUUACAUAGAUUAAAUCUCAUUAUGCAACUUACUCUUUAGUCUAUAUUCUUUUUUAUAAGCUCCCAUUGUAUGAACGAAUUUAACAUAGAAAAGUGUGAAUUUAUUACAUCAGAUGGAUAUACUAAGCUCCAAUGAAGUUAAGGUCCAGUAAAGUCAAACACUUUUCAUUUUUCUUAUCAACAGUGAAUUUCAGCUGGCAGAAUCUUAGUGAAAUCUUAAAUG